RNAcentral lists this unclassified non-coding RNA (250 nucleotides) under Icmadophila ericetorum (peppermint drop lichen). RNAcentral describes it as "partial contains 5.8S ribosomal RNA, internal transcribed spacer 2, and large subunit ribosomal RNA". Lineage: Eukaryota; Fungi; Ascomycota; Lecanoromycetes; Pertusariales; Icmadophilaceae. The record is from RNAcentral.
CGCACAUUGCACCUUUUGGUAUUCCGAAAGGUAUGCCUGUUCGAGCGUCAUUUCACCUUCUCAACAUUAAUUUGUUGGUAUUGGAUUUUUUGAAUUAAAUUUCAUGUCCUAAAGAUAAAGAUUCAAUUUUAAAUUUUUGUCUACAACGAGCUUUUAUUUAGCAAGUACAUAAAGAUUUAAGAAAAGGAUUAAACCCUCCAAUUUUUUUCAGGUUGACCUCGAAUCAGGUAGGAUUACCCGCUGAACUUAA